This 796-nucleotide ribosomal RNA is filed under the name uncultured Glomus. RNAcentral describes it as "SSU rRNA". It matches the Rfam family "Eukaryotic small subunit ribosomal RNA", at positions 314 to 1114 of the family's 1831-position model. The record is from RNAcentral. Lineage: Eukaryota; Fungi; Glomeromycota; Glomeromycetes; Glomerales; Glomeraceae.
AUCAACUUUCGAUGGUAGGAUAGAGGCCUACUAUGGUGGUAACGGGUAACGGGGUGUUAGGGCACAACACCGGAGAGGGAGCCUGAGAAACGGCUACCACAUCCAAGGAUGGCAGCAGGCGCGCAAAUUACCCAAUCCCAACACGGGGAGGUAGUGACAAUAAAUAACAAUACGGGGUUCUUUCAGAUUUCGUAAUUGGAAUGAGUACAAUUUAAAUCUCUUAACGAGGAACAAUUGGAGGGCAAAUCUGGUGCCAGCAGCCGCGGUAAUUCCAGCUCCAAUAGCGUAUAUUAAAGUUGCUGCAGUUAAAAAGCUCGUAGUUGAAUUUCGGGACCAAUAUGUCAGUCGUGCCUCAGUACGUACUGGCAUCGUUGGUUUCUCCCUUCUGAAGAACCAUGAUGUCAUUUAUUUGGUGUCGUGGGAAAUCAGGAAUGUUACUUUGAAAAAAUUAGUGUUUAAAGCAGGCUUACGCCUGAAUACAUUAGCAUGGAAUAAUGAAAUAGGACGUUUGAUUCUAUUUUGUUGGUUUCUAGGAUCGACGUAAUGAUUAAUAGGGAUAGUUGGGGGCAUUAGUAUUCAAUUGUCAGAGGUGAAAUUCUUGGAUUUAUUGAAGACUAACUACUGCGAAAGCAUUUGCCAAGGAUGUUUUCAUUAAUCAAGAACGAAAGUUAGGGGAUCGAAGACGAUCAGAUACCGUCGUAGUCUUAACUAUAAACUAUGCCGACUAGGGAUCGAAUGAUGUUAAUUUUUUAAUGACUCAUUCGGCGCCUUACGGGAAACCAAAGUGUUUGGGUUC